RNAcentral lists this ribosomal RNA (838 nucleotides) under uncultured Actinomycetes bacterium. RNAcentral describes it as "bacterial SSU rRNA". It matches the Rfam family "Bacterial small subunit ribosomal RNA", at positions 45 to 894 of the family's 1533-position model. Lineage: Bacteria; Bacillati; Actinomycetota; Actinomycetes. The record is from RNAcentral.
UGCUUACACAUGCAAGUCGAACGAUGAAGCUGGAGCUUGCUCCAGUGGAUUAGUGGCGAACGGGUGAGUAACACGUGAGCAAUCUGCCCUUGACUCUGGGAUAACUGCGGGAAACUGUAGCUAAUACCGGAUACGACACCUUGGGGCAUCCCAGGGUGUGGAAAGAAUUUCGGUCAAGGAUGAGCUCGCGGCCUAUCAGCUAGUUGGUGAGGUAAUGGCUCACCAAGGCGACGACGGGUAGCCGGCCUGAGAGGGUGACCGGCCACACUGGAACUGAGAUACGGUCCAGACUCCUACGGGAGGCAGCAGUGGGGAAUAUUGCACAAUGGGCGCAAGCCUGAUGCAGCAACGCCGCGUGAGGGAUGAAGGCCUUCGGGUUGUAAACCUCUUUUAGCAGGGAAGAAGCGAAAGUGACGGUACCUGCAGAAAAAGCACCGGCUAACUACGUGCCAGCAGCCGCGGUAAUACGUAGGGUGCAAGCGUUGUCCGGAAUUAUUGGGCGUAAAGAGCUCGUAGGCGGUUUGUCGCGUCUGCUGUGAAAAUCCAAGGCUCAACCUUGGACCUGCAGUGGGUACGGGCAGACUAGAGUGCGGUAGGGGAGAUGGGAAUUCCUGGUGUAGCGGUGGAAUGCGCAGAUAUCAGGAGGAACACCAAUGGCGAAGGCACAUCUCUGGGCCGUAACUGACGCUGAGGAGCGAAAGCGUGGGGAGCGAACAGGAUUAGAUACCCUGGUAGUCCACGCCGUAAACGGUGGGUGCUAGUUGUGGGCCACAUUCCACGUGGUCCGUGACGAGGUUAACACAUUAAGCACCCCGCCUGGGGAGUAUGGUCGCAAGGC